AAGAAAUAUCAUUUCUCUAUUUACUUUUGUUUGGAUAGCAAUUUGAGAAAGGAAAAGAGGGGAAAACAAUGGCCAUAAGAUUUCCCAAUUUCCUUCCAAACCUCUAAAAAUUUGUCCCCCAAUUUGGAGUGAAAAAGAGGGAAAUGAGAAAGUAAAAAAAUUAUAAGUGUUGAAGUUAUGAAUAUACCCUUACACCACAUAAAUAGCAAAGGGAAAAGGCUACAUGAUGAGAGUAUAACAGUAAAAAUAGACUUAAACUUAUUGCUCUUCUUUUCUAUCUACUUCUCACAUAAGGUAUCCAAUCAAAAUAAAUAGAAAUUAGAUUUCUUUUCUUUUCCUUUACUUAAUUUCUUUUCAUUUCCAUUG
RNAcentral lists this unclassified non-coding RNA (366 nucleotides) under Hevea brasiliensis (rubber tree). Lineage: Eukaryota; Viridiplantae; Streptophyta; Magnoliopsida; Malpighiales; Euphorbiaceae. The record is from RNAcentral.